AGUAUAUCCAUAUUUUGCUCCGGUCUUUUCCAGAUGCAGAGAUACUUCUGAAUUCCAGCAGCUGCCUACGUGGAACCAGGGCAAAGGGUUUCUCAAGCACAAAUCAUUAACACAGAGUGUUUGUUAAUACUACCACUGGAGGAAGCUUUCACAAGGCUACUUAAAACUACGUAAUCCUUUUAUGAAUAUUUCUGAAAGACCUGGAAAAUUUGACCACCAGGGAAAGUGAAUCCUACUGGCUUGUAGAAUAUUCCAGACCUGCCAGGUGAUUGAUCUAUUAUGCUAGUGGGAAGAGGCAGAGGCUCCCUCUUCUGGUGCCUCUGGAUAGAAGGAAACCCUAUAAAGAUAGCGAGGAGGGGCACCUUUUCUUCAUCUAGCCACUCCUGAUCC
RNAcentral lists this long non-coding RNA (390 nucleotides) under Marmota monax (woodchuck). Lineage: Eukaryota; Metazoa; Chordata; Mammalia; Rodentia; Sciuridae. The record is from RNAcentral.